AGAGUUGAUCAUGGCUCAGAUUGAACGCUGGCGGCAUGCCUUACACAUGCAAGUCGAACGGCAGCACGGGAGCUUGCUCCUGGUGGCGAGUGGCGAACGGGUGAGUAAUAUAUCGGAACGUGCCCUAGAGUGGGGGAUAACUAGUCGAAAGAUUAGCUAAUACCGCAUACGAUCUAUGGAUGAAAGUGGGGGAUCGCAAGACCUCAUGCUCCUGGAGCGGCCGAUAUCUGAUUAGCUAGUUGGUGAGGUAAAGGCUCACCAAGGCGACGAUCAGUAGCUGGUCUGAGAGGACGACCAGCCACACUGGAACUGAGACACGGUCCAGACUCCUACGGGAGGCAGCAGUGGGGAAUUUUGGACAAUGGGCGCAAGCCUGAUCCAGCAAUGCCGCGUGAGUGAAGAAGGCCUUCGGGUUGUAAAGCUCUUUUGUCAGGGAAGAAACGGUUGUGGCUAAUAUCCAUGACUAAUGACGGUACCUGAAGAAUAAGCACCGGCUAACUACGUGCCAGCAGCCGCGGUAAUACGUAGGGUGCAAGCGUUAAUCGGAAUUACUGGGCGUAAAGCGUGCGCAGGCGGUUGUGCAAGACAGAUGUGAAAUCCCCGGGCUUAACCUGGGAAUUGCAUUUGUGACUGCACGGCUAGAGUGUGUCAGAGGGGGGUAGAAUUCCACGUGUAGCAGUGAAAUGCGUAGAUAUGUGGAGGAAUACCGAUGGCGAAGGCAGCCCCCUGGGAUAACACUGACGCUCAUGCACGAAAGCGUGGGGAGCAAACAGGAUUAGAUACCCUGGUAGUCCACGCCCUAAACGAUGUCUACUAGUUGUCGGGUCUUAAUUGACUUGGUAACGCAGCUAACGCGUGAAGUAGACCGCCUGGGGAGUACGGUCGCAAGAUUAAAACUCAAAGGAAUUGACGGGGACCCGCACAAGCGGUGGAUGAUGUGGAUUAAUUCGAUGCAACGCGAAAAACCUUACCUACCCUUGACAUGUACGGAAUCCUGAAGAGAUUUGGGAGUGCUCGAAAGAGAGCCGUAACACAGGUGCUGCAUGGCUGUCGUCAGCUCGUGUCGUGAGAUGUUGGGUUAAGUCCCGCAACGAGCGCAACCCUUGUCAUUAGUUGCUACGAAAGGGCACUCUAAUGAGACUGCCGGUGACAAACCGGAGGAAGGUGGGGAUGACGUCAAGUCCUCAUGGCCCUUAUGGGUAGGGCUUCACACGUCAUACAAUGGUACAUACAGAGGGCCGCCAACCCGCGAGGGGGAGCUAAUCCCAGAAAGUGUAUCGUAGUCCGGAUUGGAGUCUGCAACUCGACUCCAUGAAGUUGGAAUCGCUAGUAAUCGCGGAUCAGCAUGUCGCGGUGAAUACGUUCCCGGGUCUUGUACACACCGCCCGUCACACCAUGGGAGCGGGUUCUGCCAGAAGUAGUUA
RNAcentral lists this ribosomal RNA (1424 nucleotides) under Herbaspirillum sp. Its description in RNAcentral is "bacterial SSU rRNA". It matches the Rfam family "Bacterial small subunit ribosomal RNA". The record is from RNAcentral. Lineage: Bacteria; Pseudomonadati; Pseudomonadota; Betaproteobacteria; Burkholderiales; Oxalobacteraceae.